Molecule: non-coding RNA, 104 nt
Filed under: human gut metagenome
Description: SAM riboswitch (S box leader)
Rfam family: SAM riboswitch aptamer (S box leader)
About the family: The SAM riboswitch is found upstream of a number of genes which code for proteins involved in methionine or cysteine biosynthesis in Gram-positive bacteria. The SAM riboswitch acts at the level of transcription termination control. The predicted structure consists of a complex stem-loop region followed by a single stem loop terminator region.
Source: RNAcentral
CCUUAUCCAGAGCGGCGGAGGGAAUGGGCCCGAUGAAACCCGGCAACCGGUUUAUAACAAACAAGGUGCUAAAUCCCACAGCAUGGCGAUGCUGAAAGAUGAGG